Molecule: ribosomal RNA, 447 nt
Filed under: Triticum aestivum (bread wheat)
Lineage: Eukaryota; Viridiplantae; Streptophyta; Magnoliopsida; Poales; Poaceae
Description: partial small subunit ribosomal RNA
Source: RNAcentral
AUGUUCCUCAGCAAGUCUCCGCACCAGGACGUUUACCUCUGGCUGUCGCACAACAACCUCACUGGGCCCAUCCCGGCAGACUUCGGCGCCGUGAAUUUCACGCACCUCGACCUGUCGCGCAACGACCUGACCGGCGACGCGUCGGGCCUCUUCGGCCGCGGGAAGGAGCUGCAGUACAUCGACCUGUCCCGCAACACCUUCUAUUUCGACCUCUCAGGCGUGGUGCUCCCGGAGCGGCUCUACUUCGUCGAUGUGAGCCACAAUGCCAUCCAAGGCAGCAUCCCGGCGCAGGUCGCGAGCAUGUCCAACCUGAACUUCUUCAACGUCAGCUACAACAGGCUCUGCGGCCCUGUGCCCGCCGGCGGUAACAUGGCGAGGUUCGAUCUCUACAACUUUCAGCACAACAAGUGCCUCUGUGGUGCUCCCCUCCCUUCAUGCAAGAAAUAG